CACCUCUAGCAUUACUAGUAUUUAGAGGCACUGCCUGCCCAGUGACACACGUUUAACGGCCGCGGUACCCUGACCGUGCAAAGGUAGCAUAAUCACUUGUUCUUUAAAUGGGGACUCGCAUGAAAGGCACCACGAGGGUUUAACUGUCUCUUACUUUUAACCAGUGAAAUUGACCUGCCCGCGAAGAGGCGGACAUAGUAUAAUAAGACGAGAAGACCCUAUGGAGCUUUAAUCUAUUAAUGCAAUCAAAAAUUACACAAACCCACGGACCUUUAAACUAUCGACACCUGCAUUAAAAAUUUUGGUUGGGGCGACCUCGGAGCACAACAAAACCUCCGAAUAACACAUGCUAAGACCACACAAGUCAAAGCGAACUAACACUUAUAAUUGAUCCAAUAACUUGAUCAACGGAACAAGUUACCCUAGGGAUAACAGCGCAAUUCUAUUCUAGAGUCCAUAUCGACAAUAGAGCUUACGACCUCGAUGUUGGAUCAGGACAUCCUAAUGGUGCAGCAGCUAUCAAGGGUUCGUUUGUUCAACGAUUAAAGUCCU
Molecule: ribosomal RNA, 552 nt
Filed under: Macaca mulatta (Rhesus monkey)
Lineage: Eukaryota; Metazoa; Chordata; Mammalia; Primates; Cercopithecidae
Description: partial 16S ribosomal RNA
Rfam family: Bacterial large subunit ribosomal RNA
Source: RNAcentral